Molecule: long non-coding RNA, 1083 nt
Filed under: Homo sapiens (human)
Lineage: Eukaryota; Metazoa; Chordata; Mammalia; Primates; Hominidae
Description: HSALNT0181932
Source: RNAcentral
GGGCUCUGAAUUCAACUGGGCUUCACAGGAAUGAUGGGUUGAGAAAUGUCUGUUUCACAGUAUGAAUUACCUGAGCAAAAUGCUCAGAUUCCUAUGCACACAGCUGCUACUAAGGACAUACCACACACACAUUUGGAGUUCCAGUGGGCUUUUAUUGAGAUAAAUUAACAAAAACCAAGAUUUUACCAUACAACAUAACACAUCCCAACAAAAACAGAGCCCCCCCCCCCCCCACUGGAACAUCUGCCAAUUAAGAGAAAGCCAAUUUUCCCUUCCCCCAAUGUUUCUGAAAUUUUGAGUUCCCACUGUUCACUUCUCAGUGGAACUGGUCCCUUGUGGCUAGGGACAUUGGAAUUCUCUACCAUUUUUACUGAACAAAAAAUAAUUUUUUUUCCUGUUUCAAAAAAGGGAAUAGUGACUUUGUUUUCUCCAGGCUAGCUCCCUCUGACCUCAUGAACUCUGACUUACUUCAGCUCUCAUGAGGCUUCCAAAGUGUUUCUAAAUCCUUAGUGCAGACACCCUCCCUUCUGGGGCAAAGUACCCUCCCUCCCACCCCUAUUAAAAAAAAAAAUUAAAAAAUUAAACCACGUCAUCAGAAUGAGAUGUUUUGAUUCCAACAAUUUAUACUCAAGGCUUUGUGCUGAGUUGUCGUUUGAACCAAGCAUGAUGUUAUCAAGCACAAAGCACGUGGCAAAGGAAAGAUGCUCCCAUCUCAUUCUGAAAACAAAUACUGAUAACCAAGCCCACCCUCCAACCCUUUGGGGCCAACCCAUUUUAUGCUGCUGGGACCAACUUCAAACAAUUUAGAGGUAUAUUUAGGCCUAGAGGUGGUAAGGUGUGUAACAGUCCAUAGCCCAUUACACAACUGUACAACCAAAGGCUAAAUGAUGAGUUGGAUGUAGUUUUAAUAUUAAAAAUAGAGGGUAGUUCUCAUCCAAAUGAGCCACUGGAAAAUAUUAUCAUUACUUAAAAAAAUACAUAUUUAAUAUUGGAAAGAAUGUGAAAACAACUUCCAAUAGUAACAAUGCUUAUUAUGAGGGCCCAAAAAAGAAAGAAAAAAAAAAAAAAAAAAAAAAAGACCAG